RNAcentral lists this long non-coding RNA (1610 nucleotides) under Vigna radiata. RNAcentral describes it as "long non-coding RNA (VRAD_LNC017044)". The record is from RNAcentral. Lineage: Eukaryota; Viridiplantae; Streptophyta; Magnoliopsida; Fabales; Fabaceae.
UUGUUGGAAGAAGCAUUUUAUUGUUUUCUUGGUCUGAACGAAAAAUAGAAAAAAUGGCUUUUCUUAGUGUUGAAAGAAGAUGUUAGGUGAUUGGUUAGGUUUAGAAUGCAGGUGUUGAAUCACGUGAAUGAGUAAAAAAAAUUGUGCUUUCAUUGUGAGAAAGGAUGCGUCAUUUAAGUGUGUUUCAUUUAAUUAGGUACAGCUGCAGUGUUGUCAUAGCAUUGGGAGCAGCGAAUUCAGCACGCUAUUUUCAGCAAUUUUAUUUUUGGACUUUGGAUCCUUAUUUUUUUUUAUCCCAGCAGCACUUUAUGGGAUUUAUAACUUUCAAUUAGGAAGCACACACCGCCCAUUUUGGAUUUAUUUUGUUUUGCAUCUUUGCAUUUAAAUUAAUUUAGCUUCAGCUUGCAUGAAACUAAUUUUAAUAUCAUUAAAUUUAGAAUUAUAUUUAGCAAUCUAGUUCGUGUUAUUUUACUUAAGUUAAUUUUCUGUGAUGAAUUGCCUUUUCAUUUCUUCAGCUUAUUUGUUGCAUUUUCAUUUUAUUUCACUGUUCACACAUCUUGGUAUUACAUGAUUUAUUCCAGUGUUUCCGUUUCGUUUACUGUUAUGUUGUUUGUUCUGUUCGAUUGUGUUAAUUUACUUAUGAUGUUAGCUUAGGUUAUUGGGUUGGUCGUUAAUAAAAUUACUUUGUUUCCAUGAGAUUCUUGCACUUUAAUUGUCAUACUGCUGCUUUGAUUCUGCUAAAUAUUUAAUCGAUUGUCUGCCUACGAUUAGGUAUACGCUUAGUUGCCUAAUCGGUGUCAAUUCUUCGCUUAGUUGAUUAGACUGUGUGGUGGAUGAUUGAUUAAUUUUGUUCAUUGCAUUCUCUUAGUCUGUAAUUUUGAAGACCGAAUUAGCCUUCGCUUAGUUGGUUGAUUUGUGUCGGAUUUGGAUUAGAGUAGUGUGCAUCUGUGAUUGGAAGCGUAGUAAUUGAGUUAAUGACCAACCGUUUCCAUUAUGCAUUUGAUUCCAUUUUUACUACUGUGUUUGCAAUUCCGUUUUUACAUUUCUGUUGCACCCGUGUUUUAAUUUUGUUUAUCCGCAUUCACAAACUUUUCAACAAUCCCCCCCACUUCGUAUGAGACCUGAUUCUUGAACCACAUUUGGUCCUUGGGAGACGACCUAGGAGUCAUUUCCUAGCUAUACUACAUUCUUUUAUGCACAUCAAAUUUGUAUGGGCUGCGACAACCCAUCAAAUUUUGGCGCCGUUGCCAGGGACGAACGGUGCGGUUUUAGGUCUUUUGUUGUGUUAGUGUGUGUUGUGUUUUGUCUUGUGUUGUGAGUGUGAUGUUCUGUUUGUGUGUCGUCAUGUGUUGUUGCAUUUAGGUAGCUUUCGUUGCAUAUUUUCAUUGCAUUCUUCUUUUCCCCCUCUUCCUUCUACAUGUCUACCUAUUCUGGUUAUGUGGAUAUUGUUUCUUCUGCCUGUGCCUAUGACUAUGAUUCUCCUCCUGCAUCGAACUCUGAUAUUGCUUCUCAUGCAUAUUCUGCUGAUUUUUAUGUCGAGAACAAUAUGACUCAUCCUUCCAUUCUUGAGAGUGCUCUUUAGGAGCCGGUUCCACUUGAUGAGGUUGAUG